UGCUGAUGAUGAUGAUGAUGAUGAUGAUGCUGCUGACAGUCAGCAUUGUAAAUGGGACCGAAUGGUAGGGGAAAUCUGUCCGUACUCACUUAUUGAACGGCCCUGGCAAGAUUGGUGUCCCCAUGAUCGACUCCCAUCAUUGUCACGAUCAUCAUCAUCAUCAUCGCCACCA
This 172-nucleotide microRNA precursor is filed under the name Anopheles maculatus. RNAcentral describes it as "microRNA mir-598". The record is from RNAcentral. Lineage: Eukaryota; Metazoa; Arthropoda; Insecta; Diptera; Culicidae.